This 1203-nucleotide ribosomal RNA is filed under the name Triticum aestivum (bread wheat). RNAcentral's name for it is "partial small subunit ribosomal RNA". The record is from RNAcentral. Lineage: Eukaryota; Viridiplantae; Streptophyta; Magnoliopsida; Poales; Poaceae.
AUGUCCACCACCACCGCGGCCAUGAUUCCAAGCACCAUGGGUGCGCUCGCCACCACCUCAUCCUCCACCUUCGCAUCAUCUUCCACCUCCACCCACAGCACCACCUCCCUCAGAUCGCCACCACAGGAGAAGCUUACGCGGGGCAACUUCCUGCUUUUGAAGGCCAUUGUGCUCCCGCGGAUCAGAGGUGCCCAGAUGGAGCAUCACCUCGACGCGACGAGCCCGCCCCCGCCAGCCACCCUCACCAUCACCAAGGAAGGCAAAGAGGAACAAGUCGUCAACUUUGCGAGAUCCCUCUGGUAUGCACAGCAGCAACAACUCCAAGGAUACUUAAUGGGUUCACUUUCCCGUGAGAUUCCUGCCCAGGUCGCCACGCUCCAGACGCCGGCCGAGGUGUGGAACACUAUCCACGCCAUGUUCGCUGCUCAGAGCCAAGCUCAAGCGAUAAACACUCGCAUCGAGCUCACCAACCUCAAGAAAGGUAAUAUGUCCAUGGCUGAUUAUCUUGGUAAGAUCAAAAGUCUCACUGAUGAGGUCGCAAGCACGGCUUCGGCCUUAUCUGAUCCAGAGAUUGUCUCCAAAAUUCUUGCCGGCUUGGAUAUGGAGUACAACCCGGUGGUCUCUGCACUCGCCGCCAGGGUGGAACCCAUCACCGUCCAAGACCUAUACAGCCAGCUGCUCAGUUUUGAUGCCCGCCUCACCCUCCUCCACGGCGGCGAUCUUCGGCAGUCCUCCGUCAACUCCGUCUCUCGUGGCCGCGGCCGUGGGCGCGGUCACCAGGGGCAGCGCGGCGGCGGACGCGGACGCGGCACCUCUUCAGGAGAAGGCGCACGCUCCAGUGGGGGCUCUGGCUCCCAUGGCGGGGGCGGCUACAACAACAGCGGCGGCUUCAACAACAACAAUGGCCGCCGCCCUUCUUCACGUCCGCGCCCCCGAUGCCAGCUCUGCAAAAAGUCUGGUCAUGAGGUGAUUGACUGCUGGCAUCGCUACGAUGAGGAUUUUGUGCCCUCGGAUCGCCAUGUUGCGGCUGCCAUGCGUGAGCAGGGUGGUGAUGGUGUCUGGUACGUGGACUCUGGCGCUACGGGUCAUGUGACAAACGAGCUCGAGCAACUUGCCCUUCGUGAGCACUACCAUGGCGCCGAUCAGAUUCACACCGCCAGUGGCGGAGGAUCGGGCAACGAGGGAACUACUUCAUCACGGUAG